CCUACGGGAGGCAGCAGUGAGGAAUAUUGGACAAUGGGCGCAAGCCUGAUCCAGCCAUGCCGCGUGCAGGAUGACGGUCCUAUGGAUUGUAAACUGCUUUUAUACGAGAAGAAACACUACUUCGUGAAGUAGCUUGACGGUAUCGUAAGAAUAAGGAUCGGCUAACUCCGUGCCAGCAGCCGCGGUAAUACGGAGGAUCCAAGCGUUAUCCGGGAAUCAUUGGGUUUAAAGGGUCCGUAGGCGGUUUAAUAAGGUCAGUGGUGAAAGCCCAUCGCUCAACGGUGGAACGGCCAUUGAUACUGUUAGACUUGAAUUAUUAGGAAGUAACUAGAAUAUGUAGUGUAGCGGUGAAAUGCUUAGAGAUUACAUGGAAUACCAAUUGCGAAGGCAGGUUACUACUAAUAUAUUGACGCUGAUGGACGAAAGCGUGGGUAGCGAACAGGAUUAGAUACCCUGGUAGUCCACGCCGUAAACGAUGGAUACUAGCUGUUGGAAGCAAUUUCAGUGGCUAAGCGAAAGUGAUAAGUAUCCCACCUGGGGAGUACGUUCGCAAGAAUGAAACUUAAUGAAUUGACGGCUGAGACCCGCCCGAAGGGCACGACAGGGGANAGGG
This 613-nucleotide ribosomal RNA is filed under the name uncultured bacterium. RNAcentral describes it as "bacterial SSU rRNA". It matches the Rfam family "Bacterial small subunit ribosomal RNA", at positions 338 to 951 of the family's 1533-position model. The record is from RNAcentral.